GGGGGCCCCGGCACCAANCAGCGAAGCGUGUUGGUUUAAUUCGAGGGCGACGCGAAAGACCCCUUUACCUGGGGCUUGGACAUGCAGAGGAACCAUUUCACCGAAAAUGAGUGCUUCCCGCAAGGGACCUCUGUGCAGGUGGUGCAUGGGCUGUCGUCAGCUCGUGCCGUGAGGUGUUGGGUUAAGUCCCGCAACGAGCGCAACCCCUGUCCUUAGUUGAAUUUUNUAGGGAGACUGCCGGGCGAAACCCGGAGGAAGGUGGGGAUGACGUCAAGUCCGCAUGCCCUUUAUGUCCAGGGCUACACACACGCUACAAUGGCCGGUACACGGGUUCCGACACGGCGACGUGAAGGCAAUCCCUUAAAGCCGGUCUCAGUUCGGAUUGCAGGCUGCAACUCGCCUGCAUGAAGUCGGAGUUGCUAGUAAACGCUGGUCAGCACACAGCGUUGAAUACGUUCCCGGGCCUUGCACUCACCGCCCGUCACAUCACCUGAAUCUGUUGCUCCCGAAGUCGCUGGCCGAACCCGUAAGGGACGGAGGCGCCGAAGGAGUGGCCGGUGAGGGGGGUGAAGUCGUAACAAGGUAGC
RNAcentral lists this ribosomal RNA (587 nucleotides) under uncultured bacterium. RNAcentral describes it as "bacterial SSU rRNA". It matches the Rfam family "Bacterial small subunit ribosomal RNA", at positions 915 to 1500 of the family's 1533-position model. The record is from RNAcentral.